RNAcentral lists this ribosomal RNA (638 nucleotides) under uncultured bacterium. RNAcentral describes it as "bacterial SSU rRNA". It matches the Rfam family "Bacterial small subunit ribosomal RNA", at positions 76 to 730 of the family's 1533-position model. The record is from RNAcentral.
CACUUCGGUGGUACUCGAGCGGCGAACGGGUGAGUAACACGUGAGUAAUCUGCCCCCCACUUUGGGAUAGCCACCGGAAACGGUGAUUAAUACCGGAUAUGACCCUUGACCGCAUGGUUGUGGGUGGAAAGUUUUUCGGUGGGGGAUGUGCUCGCGGCCUAUCAGCUUGAUGGUGGGGUAAUGGCCUACCAUGGCUUCGACGGGUAGCCGGCCUGAGAGGGUGACCGGCCACACUGGGACUGAGACACGGCCCAGACUCCUACGGGAGGCAGCAGUGGGGAAUAUUGGACAAUGGGCGGAAGCCUGAUCCAGCAACGCCGCGUGAGGGAUGACGGCCUUCGGGUUGUAAACCUCUUUCAGUACCGACGAAGCGAAAGUGACGGUAGGUACAGAAGAAGCACCGGCCAACUACGUGCCAGCAGCCGCGGUAAUACGUAGGGUGCGAGCGUUGUCCGGAAUUAUUGGGCGUAAAGGGCUCGUAGGCGGUUUGUCGCGUCGGGAGUGAAAACACUGGGCUUAACUCAGUGCUUGCUUCCGAUACGGGCAGACUAGAGGUAUGCAGGGGAGAACGGAAUUCCUGGUGUAGCGGUGAAAUGCGCAGAUAUCAGGAGGAACACCGGUGGCGAAGGCGGUUCUCU